RNAcentral lists this ribosomal RNA (424 nucleotides) under uncultured bacterium. Its description in RNAcentral is "partial 16S ribosomal RNA". It matches the Rfam family "Bacterial small subunit ribosomal RNA", at positions 359 to 774 of the family's 1533-position model. The record is from RNAcentral.
GAAUAUUGGACAAUGGGGGGAACCCUGAUCCAGCCAUGCCGCGUGUGUGAAUAAGGCCUUUUGGUUGUAAAGCACUUUAAGCGAGGAGGAGGAGCUCUUGGUUAAUACCCAAGAUGCUUGGACGUUACUCGCAGAAUAAGCACCGGCUAACUCUGUCCCAGAGGCCGCGGGAAGACAGAGGGUGCAAGCGUUAAUCGGAUGUACUGGGCGUAAAGCGCGCGUAGGUGGACAAUUAAGGCAAAUGGGAAAUCCCCGAGCUUAACGGGGGAAUUGCAUUCGAUACUGGGUGGCUAGAGUAUGGGAGAGGAUGGUAGAAUUCCAGGUGUAGCGGUGAAAUGCGUAGAGAUCUGGAGGAAUACCGAUGGCGAAGGCAGCCAUCUGGCCUAAUACUGACACUGAGGUGCGAAAGCAUGGGGAGCAAACA